GACGCCGCGUGGGUGAUGAAGCUCUACGGAGUAUAAAGCCCUGUCAGGGGGGAAGAAAGUCGCAGGUUCGAUAAGGGUCUGCGUUUGACGGUACCCUCAGAGGAAGCUCCGGCUAACUCCGUGCCAGCCACUGCGGUGACUGAGCGGGCUGGCAAGGCGCAUA
RNAcentral lists this ribosomal RNA (163 nucleotides) under uncultured bacterium. Its description in RNAcentral is "partial 16S ribosomal RNA". It matches the Rfam family "Bacterial small subunit ribosomal RNA", at positions 393 to 539 of the family's 1533-position model. The record is from RNAcentral.